AGAGUUUGAUCAUGGCUCAGAAUUAACGCUGGCAGAGUGCAUAACACAUGCAAGUCGAGCGGGACUAUUUGAGAUUACAUCAACUGGUAGUCUGGCGGCAGACGAGUGAGUAACACGUAAGCAAUUUGCCCCAGAUUGGCGAACAACCAGCCGAAAGGUUGGCUAAUACGCCGUAUAAUCCCGGAGAGGCAUCUCUUUGGGAUGAUAGGCCCGCAAGGGUCGAUCUGGGAGGAGCUUGCGGCCCAUCAGCUAGUUGGCGGUGUAACGGACCACCAAGGCUAUGACGGGUACCCGGCCUGAAAGGGCGGACGGGCACGAAGGCACUGAGACACGGGCCUUACUCCUACGGGAGGCAGCAGUGGGGAAUUUUGGACAAUGGGGGAAACCCUGAUCCAGCAACUCUGCGUGAGGGACGAAGCCUUUAGGGGCGUAAACCUCUUUUAUCUGGGACGAAAUCCGCAAGGUUUGACGGUACCAGGUGAAUAAGCCACGGCUAACUAUGUGCCAGCAGCCGCGGUAAGACAUAGGUGGCGAGCGUUAUUCGGAAUUACUAGGCGUAAAGCGAGUGUAGGCGGGCGCUUAAGUCUGUUGUGAAAUCUCCCGGCUUAACUGGGAGGGGUCAAUGGAUACUGGGUGUCUUGAGUGAGGUAGGGGGUGCUGGAAUUCCCGGUAGCGGUGAAAUGCGUAGAUAUCGGGAGGAACACCUAUGGCGAAAGCAGGUACCUGGGCCUUUACUGACGCUGAGACUCGAAAGCUAGGGGAGCAAACAGGAUUAGAUACCCUAGUAGUCC
This 791-nucleotide ribosomal RNA is filed under the name uncultured bacterium. RNAcentral's name for it is "bacterial SSU rRNA". It matches the Rfam family "Bacterial small subunit ribosomal RNA", at positions 8 to 796 of the family's 1533-position model. The record is from RNAcentral.